RNAcentral lists this transfer RNA (85 nucleotides) under Halomonas cupida. RNAcentral describes it as "tRNA_Leu_TAG". It matches the Rfam family "tRNA". From Rfam's summary of the family: Transfer RNA (tRNA) molecules are approximately 80 nucleotides in length. Their secondary structure includes four short double-helical elements and three loops (D, anti-codon, and T loops). Further hydrogen bonds mediate the characteristic L-shaped molecular structure. tRNAs have two regions of fundamental functional importance: the anti-codon, which is responsible for specific mRNA codon recognition, and the 3' end, to which the tRNAs corresponding amino acid is attached (by aminoacyl-tRNA synthetases). tRNAs cope with the degeneracy of the genetic code in two manners: having more than one tRNA (with a specific anti-codon) for a particular amino acid; and 'wobble' base-pairing, i.e. permitting non-standard base-pairing at the 3rd anti-codon position. Lineage: Bacteria; Pseudomonadati; Pseudomonadota; Gammaproteobacteria; Oceanospirillales; Halomonadaceae. RNAcentral also lists the same sequence under 2 other names. The record is from RNAcentral.
GCGGAUGUGGUGGAAUUGGUAGACACGCUAGAUUUAGGUUCUAGUGCCUUCGGGCGUGGGAGUUCAAGUCUCCCCAUCCGCACCA